AUCCUUUUGCAGUUACCUACAUGUGAUGAUUGGGUUUUCACACUCAUGUAUUAGAUAUGCCUCCCUCAAACUUUGUUACAAGGUCAGAACAUUACCCCUGUCUGAUG
This is a small nucleolar RNA of Lemur catta (Ring-tailed lemur), 107 nucleotides long. RefSeq annotates it as small nucleolar RNA U13. The record is from RefSeq and is a predicted model, not a curated record. Lineage: Eukaryota; Metazoa; Chordata; Mammalia; Primates; Lemuridae. The transcript has a single exon.